Molecule: ribosomal RNA, 1373 nt
Filed under: uncultured bacterium
Lineage: Bacteria
Description: bacterial SSU rRNA
Rfam family: Bacterial small subunit ribosomal RNA
Source: RNAcentral
GAUGAACGCUGGCGGCGUGCCUAAUACAUGCAAGUCGAGCGAACAGAUGAGAAGCUUGCUUCUCUGAUGUUAGCGGCGGACGGGUGAGUAACACGUGGGUAACCUACCUAUAAGACUGGGAUAACUCCGGGAAACCGGGGCUAAUACCGGAUAAUAUUUUGAACCGCAUGGUUCAAUAGUGAAAGACGGUUUCGGCUGUCACUUAUAGAUGGACCCGCGCCGUAUUAGCUAGUUGGUAAGGUAACGGCUUACCAAGGCGACGAUACGUAGCCGACCUGAGAGGGUGAUCGGCCACACUGGAACUGAGACACGGUCCAGACUCCUACGGGAGGCAGCAGUAGGGAAUCUUCCGCAAUGGGCGAAAGCCUGACGGAGCAACGCCGCGUGAGUGAUGAAGGUCUUCGGAUCGUAAAACUCUGUUGUUAGGGAAGAACAAAUUUGUUAGUAACUGAACAAGUCUUGACGGUACCUAACCAGAAAGCCACGGCUAACUACGUGCCAGCAGCCGCGGUAAUACGUAGGUGGCAAGCGUUAUCCGGAAUUAUUGGGCGUAAAGCGCGCGUAGGCGGUUUCUUAAGUCUGAUGUGAAAGCCCACGGCUCAACCGUGGAGGGUCAUUGGAAACUGGGAAACUUGAGUGCAGAAGAGGAGAGUGGAAUUCCAUGUGUAGCGGUGAAAUGCGCAGAGAUAUGGAGGAACACCAGUGGCGAAGGCGGCUCUCUGGUCUGUAACUGACGCUGAUGUGCGAAAGCGUGGGGAUCAAACAGGAUUAGAUACCCUGGUAGUCCACGCCGUAAACGAUGAGUGCUAAGUGUUAGGGGGUUUCCGCCCCUUAGUGCUGCAGCUAACGCAUUAAGCACUCCGCCUGGGGAGUACGACCGCAAGGUUGAAACUCAAAGGAAUUGACGGGGACCCGCACAAGCGGUGGAGCAUGUGGUUUAAUUCGAAGCAACGCGAAGAACCUUACCAAAUCUUGACAUCCUUUGACCGCUCUAGAGAUAGAGUCUUCCCCUUCGGGGGACAAAGUGACAGGUGGUGCAUGGUUGUCGUCAGCUCGUGUCGUGAGAUGUUGGGUUAAGUCCCGCAACGAGCGCAACCCUUAAGCUUAGUUGCCGUCAUUAAGUUGGGCACUCUAGGUUGACUGCCGGUGACAAACCGGAGGAAGGUGGGGAUGACGUCAAAUCAUCAUGCCCCUUAUGAUUUGGGCUACACACGUGCUACAAUGGAUAAUACAAAGGGCAGCGAAUCCGCGAGGCCAAGCAAAUCCCAUAAAAUUAUUCUCAGUUCGGAUUGUAGUCUGCAACUCGACUACAUGAAGCUGGAAUCGCUAGUAAUCGUAGAUCAGCAUGCUACGGUGAAUACGUUCCCGGGUCU